RNAcentral lists this ribosomal RNA (246 nucleotides) under uncultured bacterium. Its description in RNAcentral is "partial 16S ribosomal RNA". It matches the Rfam family "Bacterial small subunit ribosomal RNA", at positions 796 to 1041 of the family's 1533-position model. The record is from RNAcentral.
UACGCCCUAAACGAUCUUCUCUCGCUUUUUGGAGUAUCGACCCUCUGAGAGGCUAAGCAAACGCGUUAAGAGAAGCGCCUGGGAAGUACGGCCGCAAGGCUAAAACUCAAAGGAAUAGACGGGGACUUGCACAAGCAGUGGAUUAUGUGGUUUAAUUCGAUGAUAAACGAAGAACCUCACCAGGGUUUGAAACCUACGUGAAAGCUCCGAGAAACCGGAGCCCUCGCAAGACUAGUAGGCAGGUGC